GUGAGGAAUAUUGGACAAUGGGCGCAAGCCUGAUCCAGCCAUGCCGCGUGCAGGAAGACGCAUCUAUGGUGUGUAAACUGCUUUUGUACGGGAAGAAACACUCCCUCGUGAGGGAGCUUGACGGUACCGUAAGAAUAAGGAUCGGCUAACUCCGUGCCAGCAGCCGCGGUAAUACGGAGGAUCCAAGCGUUAUCCGGAAUCAUUGGGUUUAAAUGGUCCGUAGGCGGUUUAAUAAGUCAGUGGUGAAAGCCCAUCGCUCAACGAUGGAACGGCCAUUGAUACUGUUAGACUUGAAUUACAAGGAAGUAACUAGAAUAUGUAGUAUAGCGGUGAAAUGCUUAGAUAUUACAUGGAAUACCAAUUGCGAAGGCAGGUUACUACUUGUGGAUUGACGCUGAUGGACGAAAGCGUGGGGAGCGAACAGGAUUAGAAACCCGGGUAGUCC
This 445-nucleotide ribosomal RNA is filed under the name uncultured bacterium. Its description in RNAcentral is "partial 16S ribosomal RNA". It matches the Rfam family "Bacterial small subunit ribosomal RNA", at positions 354 to 796 of the family's 1533-position model. The record is from RNAcentral.